CACGUAGGGUGCGAGCGUUGUCCGGAAUUAUUGGGCGUAAAGAGCUCGUAGGCGGCUUGUCGCGUCGACUGUGAAAUCCCGCGGCUCAACUGCGGGUCUGCAGUCGAUACGGGCAGGCUAGAGUUCGGUAGGGGAGACUGGAAUUCCUGGUGUAGCGGUGAAAUGCGCAGAUAUCAGGAGGAACACCGAUGGCGAAGGCAGGUCUCUGGGCCGAUACUGACGCUGAGGAGCGAAAGCGUGGGGGAGCGAACAGG
This 254-nucleotide ribosomal RNA is filed under the name uncultured bacterium. Its description in RNAcentral is "partial 16S ribosomal RNA". It matches the Rfam family "Bacterial small subunit ribosomal RNA", at positions 524 to 776 of the family's 1533-position model. The record is from RNAcentral.